AGCUUUUGACGACGUAGCUAUUGCACCCUCUGGUGGCCGAGUCUAAAAGUGUCGAUGUUAACGAGUUUAUAUCACGCACGCGCGCUCGAGCUCGCGCACGCCCACGCGGAGGGUGCACUGAGGACACGUUUUUUGCAUUUUUCCUUCACUUAACUUGUUGACUGCUGUGAGAAAUAAUAAUAAUUUUAAAAAAAUAUGAAUCUUUUUUUUUCUCUCCCAAUAAUACUCCAGCAGAGUGCCAAGGUUUCAAUCAACCAGUGUGCGCGGGUGUAAGGACAAUUUUUGCUGGAGGGCAAAAAGAUGGGCGCAACGGAAGUACCGGAAAACAUUUGGGCACUCACUUCCGGUUUCGGUUUCCGGAAAUUCAGCGUGGAGGAAAACUUCGCGACGGCGCCGCAUCGACACAAAAAGGGGCAAAAAGGGGAGCGAAACACGUCAUGGUGAGGCAUUCACAAACAGCGUCUCAAAUAGAAAAUACCCAACGUGGUCUUCGUCGUCGUCGUCCGCCGCUGCUGCGGGGGGCUGAUUGGUGUGGACAAGCCCCGCCCCCUUCUUCUCAGCCCCUCACUUUUUAU
Syngnathoides biaculeatus (alligator pipefish) is the source of this 575-nucleotide long non-coding RNA. RefSeq lists it as uncharacterized. The record is from RefSeq and is a predicted model, not a curated record. NCBI's taxonomy places the organism in Eukaryota, Metazoa, Chordata, Actinopteri, Syngnathiformes, Syngnathidae. The transcript is spliced from 3 exons.